UACGUAGGGUGCGAGCGUUAAUCGGAAUUACUGGGCGUAAAGCGUGCGCAGGCGGUUUUGUAAGCCAGAUGUGAAAUCCCCGGGCCUAACCUGGGAAUGGCAUUUGGGACUGCAAGGCUUGAGUGCGGCAGAGGAGACUGGAAUUCCUGGUGUAGCAGUGAAAUGCGUAGAUAUCAGGAGGAAUACCGAUGGCGAAGGCAGGUCUCUGGGCUGACACUGACGCUCAUGCACGAAAGCGUGGGGAGCAAACAGG
RNAcentral lists this ribosomal RNA (253 nucleotides) under uncultured bacterium. RNAcentral's name for it is "partial 16S ribosomal RNA". It matches the Rfam family "Bacterial small subunit ribosomal RNA", at positions 524 to 776 of the family's 1533-position model. The record is from RNAcentral.